UGUAUUGUUUAAUUUUUCUUAGUUUUUUAACUAAAAUAGUUUGGCAGUGAGCGAUUCUUAUUAGGGGAAGGUGUGUUGUAAAGGAUGAUCCGCCUAUUAAUUUACUUUUAUUAUGUUGGUGUAUAUCUGGUUUAAUAUUAUUGUUUAAUAACUGAAUUUGUGUAUAUUUAUUUAAGCCAAGUCUAUGUGCUGCUUGUAAAAGAUUUCAUGCGUUACAUUUAUAUUUAUAUUAUGAGAAUUUAAUUUUUAAUUAGGACUUAAAAGUAAUAUAGAAUGAUUUUGUCUAUG
Molecule: ribosomal RNA, 288 nt
Filed under: Mesocestoides litteratus
Lineage: Eukaryota; Metazoa; Platyhelminthes; Cestoda; Cyclophyllidea; Mesocestoididae
Description: partial 12S ribosomal RNA
Source: RNAcentral